AUUGAACGCUGGCGGCAUGCCUUACACAUGCAAGUCGAACGGCAGCACGGGGGCAACCCUGGUGGCGAGUGGCGGACGGGUGAGUAAUGCAUCGGAACGUGCCCUGAAGUGGGGGAUAACGCAGCGAAAGCUACGCUAAUACCGCAUAUUCUGUGAGCAGGAAAGCAGGGGAUCGCAAGACCUUGCGCUUUGGGAGCGGCCGAUGUCGGAUUAGCUAGUUGGUGGGGUAAAGGCCUACCAAGGCGACGAUCCGUAGCGGGUCUGAGAGGAUGAUCCGCCACACUGGGACUGAGACACGGCCCAGACUCCUACGGGAGGCAGCAGUGGGGAAUUUUGGACAAUGGGCGAAAGCCUGAUCCAGCCAUGCCGCGUGAGUGAAGAAGGCCUUCGGGUUGGUUAAA
RNAcentral lists this ribosomal RNA (401 nucleotides) under uncultured bacterium. RNAcentral describes it as "bacterial SSU rRNA". It matches the Rfam family "Bacterial small subunit ribosomal RNA", at positions 29 to 430 of the family's 1533-position model. The record is from RNAcentral.